This is a non-coding RNA of Microcebus murinus (gray mouse lemur), 2444 nucleotides long. The record is from RefSeq and is a predicted model, not a curated record. Lineage: Eukaryota; Metazoa; Chordata; Mammalia; Primates; Cheirogaleidae.
GAGCAUCUCCCGCCACGCCCGGCCAGCAGGUGGCGCUCGCGAGGUCCCUGACCCCGGCGUCACGUCCCCGCACGCGUCCCCACCGCGCCUCACGCCCCGCACGCUGCCCUGGGUUGGCGUAGCCGCCUCCGCGCCUCGCCGGAAGCGCUCGGAGCCCGUCCCCGCCGCGCUGCUCGCCUCACAGGCGCCCUCACCCUCGUCAGUCAGCGGGGGCCUUGCCGGGCCAGGCCGUCAGACCGCGGCGCGGAGCGUCAGUGUGCGCUGAAUCGGCAAACGCGUACGAUUAUGCUGCCGAUUUCUGAGCUGUAAAUAGGCAAAAUCCCUAACUGAGAAAACUGAAGCUCUGAAAAUGAACAGUUAAGGACACGGAGAUAUAUCGCCCUCCCUGCCAGGGAACAGCAUGUGGGGACUCAACGAACCAGUCUGCAAUUGGGCGUCCUUCUCGGCUAUACUCACAGAAACCAAAUAUCACCACUUAAAUACGCGUCCUAAUCUGGGAUCAGGAACACACAGCCCUACCUGCAGCACAGCAAAGAGGAAACAGUAUCCGGGCCUCUGUGACAGGGAGAGAGUCAGGGGCGUGCAGGGAGUAAGAUCCCAAGGGCAGGAAGUGAAGGAAAAGGGGACUCAAGGAGGAGGAUGAAGGGAAAACAGAAAGGGGAAGAGAACAGAAGAAAUGGGGAAAAGGAACCGCGACUGCUGAAUGACAUACAAAAAGCUGAUUAAUAUCCAUUAUUGAAAAUCCUGCUCCUACAAUCAAACCGAAGUCCCGGAAGUCCCUGAAGCCGGGAGACCUCCCAGACGAGGGGGCAGGCGGGAAAAGCAAGUAAGUGUACGCUCACCAGGUCCGUCCCGCAGCGGGGGAGCAGCAGAGACCUUCCCUUUCUGCCGCCUCCCUUGCGCCACCGCCCUCCCCAGCAGGACGGCUGUUGACAAAGCUGGGGUCCCCCCAAGCCAGCCACUCUCUGAAAAGACACACUCCAGCCAAUAGCAACCCCGGCAUGCCACCGGCCCUCUCUCUGAAACUGCUGGAACCACGUGGGAAAGAAGCAUCCUGGGGUCCACCUGCUCAUAACACAGAUUAGGGACGAGGCCCAGACGGAGAAGUGAUUUGCCUGAGGUCCCCUGGCUUUUACUGAAAAGAUCUGUGCUCUGGGUCAGGGCACUUUCCACAUUUUUAUGAGUGUAGACGAGUCCCUUGCCCUUGGCGUAACCCUGGCUUCUGCUGUCUGGAUUAAUGUCACAGCUCUGCUAGACACUCCAGACACACCAUGGGGUGGCACCAUCGAAAUGGAUCGCUGUGGCUGUCCUGCAGGAACAGUCCCAUCAGGGUGGCCCCUUCGCUUGGCCUUGCAAUGUGAGUGGCCUCAGCCACCCCACACACGGCACCCGCAAACCCCCGCCUUCUUCAACGUCACAGAGAGUUUAUUCUUCUAUCCUGCUGUCUCUUCCUCUCUUCUUCCUCUUCCAUGUUCCAUGCUGGUUCUUUCUCCUCCUUUGUUUCUCUCUGUUAAAUAGUCACACCACAGAUAUGAAAGCUAGUUUUCAUUAUUUUUAUGCUAAAUUUUAUCUUUAGAUUUUUACUGUUGAAAACACAGUAGGAAAAAGUUUUAGAUUUAUCCUUUUAAAACACUUCCAUUCUUACAUAUAAAAUAACUUCCUUGAUAUUACAAAUAAUGUUCUUUAUUACUUAUUCCCUGAGGUUUAAUCAUCCUCAACCAAAAGAAGAAGGCUCCAAUCCGGCUCCUGAAAGCCGGUGCAAAGUUGCUUGGCACUAGCUAUGAUGCAGUGAUCAGACACCAUCCCUGAAAUCACUCAGUCCACAGCUCUGUGUCACCUGCCUACUCCUGAUGUCGGAGCUUAGCAGGUAGGUGAGUCUCAUGUUCAGGAAGCAGCAGCAGGAGAAAAGCAUCUAGAAGACCCCUCAUGUUCCUAGGAAAGUCUAAGUCAUUAAAUAAGAAGUAAUGCAAAAUAACUCAAAGAAAAAGAUAGGAAAUGAGCAGCCAAAUGUAUUAACAGAAAAAAACACUAACCAGAAAAAUGUUGCCAUGAAACAAUUUUUUUAAAACUGAUCUGAUAUUUCACAUGCAUUUUUUUUUACAUCUUUAAAAAUUGCCUCUGUUAAGGAAGAGCAUCAAGCAGACACGCAGAAACUCCGGAAAAAUCACAUAAUAUGGUAGGAAAAAGAUGGAGCACCAGCCAGUAAACUCAGGAGCUAAGCUGGAGAAAAGGAUAAAACCAUCCCAGAAAUUAAGAUGAAAUUGGAAGGACAACCAGGGCAAAGCAUGGGCUAGAGAUGGUCUGGCCAGAGCAAUACAGACAACAAAAAUUAUAUAAGUGAACAGAAUGAAAACAGAGACCAGAUUUUAAAAGGCUGGAGAGACUAUGAUAAAUGUAGAUAACAGGCAAAAGCAUGCAUAAUUGAAUUUCUUAAAAAGAAAAAU